UGAUUGUGGGUGUCCUGUCAGAACAAUG
RNAcentral lists this non-coding RNA (28 nucleotides) under Mus musculus (house mouse). Lineage: Eukaryota; Metazoa; Chordata; Mammalia; Rodentia; Muridae. The record is from RNAcentral.